Canis lupus familiaris (dog) is the source of this 841-nucleotide long non-coding RNA. RefSeq lists it as uncharacterized. The record is from RefSeq and is a predicted model, not a curated record. NCBI's taxonomy places the organism in Eukaryota, Metazoa, Chordata, Mammalia, Carnivora, Canidae. The transcript has 4 exons.
GUUCCUAGGCCGAAGCUGGCCAACCUCGUAGAAAGCGCUCGGUGUGUCCUUUAAACGAGCGGAAAAACUCAUUGGCUCUCUUCCCUGCGCACCGUUUAGAGAAGAAAACUAUUUCAGCUCAGAAAGCCUAAGUUUCCAGACGUUAAGAAAUUUUAAAUCUGCUUGGGUCCUUAUUAUGCCCAUUUUGAAGUCUAUAAAACAACGAUGCCUCCUCUAUCAGGAAUGCUGUAAAUCACUCUGAUGCUGUAGUUCCGGAAAGAUGUUGAACUCCCCACUGGAAAAACCCUACCAGAAAUAGGGAAGCAGAGGACCUGUUGCUGACCCAGGCUCCAGGGCAGAAGGCAGGGUGGAGAAUACUUGAAUGUGGAUCUGGAAGGCAAGCAAAAGACACUAAGCAAACUGACUGAAGAGGUUUUUAAAAGCUACAAUGGGGACUCUUUGGUCAUCUUCUUGUUGGAAGAGGACAGCUGGGGAGACAGAGAUAGCUACAGUUAUUGGAACUAUGACUAAGACAUCAGAGAAGAAAGGUUGCUGGGAUCCUUGCCUUUGUGAAAAUGCGCUCUACACAGCCCAACUUGCUGCCUGGAGGAGAUGGAGCUGCUGCUUCCAAGGAGUCUUGCAGAAUUGGAUAAGAGGCAUAUUACAGGGGGCCAUUAAAGACUGAAAUCCUGAAGAGCUCUCAUGGAAUCCUUUGUACCAUAAGGGAAGAGACUCAGAUCAGAUUUGAUUUGAUAUAGAAAAAAUAAUGAACCGUUUUUACUGUUUCUGAGUGUUGUAACUAAAUAAAGUUCAUAUGGACUCCAGCAGGAAGUGAAUAAAUAAUAGAGAUUUCAAUAAUGAA